RNAcentral lists this ribosomal RNA (649 nucleotides) under uncultured bacterium. RNAcentral's name for it is "bacterial SSU rRNA". It matches the Rfam family "Bacterial small subunit ribosomal RNA", at positions 63 to 714 of the family's 1533-position model. The record is from RNAcentral.
CGGGCAGAAACAUUCGGGUGAGUAGAGCGGCGGACGGGUGAGUAACGCGUGGGAAUCUAUCCAGUAGCGGGGGAUAACUUGUGGAAACGCAAGCUAAUACCGCAUACGCCCUACGGGGGAAAGGAGGGGAUCUUCGGACCUUUCACUAUUGGAGGAGCCCGCGUCAGAUUAGCUAGUUGGUGGGGUAAUGGCCUACCAAGGCGACGAUCUGUAGCUGGUCUGAGAGGAUGAUCAGCCACACUGGAACUGAGACACGGUCCAGACUCCUACGGGAGGCAGCAGUGGGGAAUAUUGCACAAUGGAGGAAACUCUGAUGCAGCCAUGCCGCGUGUGUGAAGAAGGCCCUAGGGUUGUAAAGCACUUUCAGCGAGGAGGAAGGGUUAGUAGUUAAUACCUGCUAGCUGUGACGUUACUCGCAGAAGAAGCACCGGCAAACUCCGUGCCAGCAGCCGCGGUAAUACGGAGGGUGCGAGCGUUAAUCGGAAUUACUGGGCGUAAAGCGCGCGUAGGUGGUUUGUUAAGCCAGAUGUGAAAGCCCCGGGCUCAACCUGGGAACUGCAUUUGGAACUGGCAGACUAGAAUACAGUAGAGGGUAGUGGAAUUUCCUGUGUAGCGGUGAAAUGCGUAGAUAUGGGAAGGAACACCAGUG